RNAcentral lists this long non-coding RNA (289 nucleotides) under Ananas comosus (pineapple). Its description in RNAcentral is "long non-coding RNA (ACOM_LNC006466)". Lineage: Eukaryota; Viridiplantae; Streptophyta; Magnoliopsida; Poales; Bromeliaceae. The record is from RNAcentral.
UUUAGUUUAUAGAAAAUGAGAGAAAGAUAGAAGAGAUUUUGAAAGAAGGCUCAAAUUAAAACUAUUCUAAACAGAAGAGGAGUACUUAGGUAUAAUUUUUUCUUAUUUAAAUAAAUUUUAUUUUACCUAUAUAUUUUAUGUUUGAUUUUUUUUUUCUUUUGUGAUUUUAUCAGUUUUUACUGAGAGUACGGAUUUAUGGUAAAAAUUCAAAUUGACGCAUCCGUUGUGAAAUUUCAAUAAACAAUAUCUAAUUUAUAGUAGUCGGUAUUAUAGCGGGUUGUAAAAUCUC